Molecule: transfer RNA, 72 nt
Filed under: Marininema mesophilum
Lineage: Bacteria; Bacillati; Bacillota; Bacilli; Caryophanales; Thermoactinomycetaceae
Also listed under: 1 other name
Description: Thermoactinomycetaceae bacterium SCSIO 10219 tRNA
Rfam family: tRNA
About the family: Transfer RNA (tRNA) molecules are approximately 80 nucleotides in length.
Source: Rfam by way of RNAcentral
GGGCGGUUAGCUCAGGGGGAGAGCGCUACCUUGACACGGUAGAGGUCGCUGGUUCGAUCCCAGUACCACCCA